RNAcentral lists this ribosomal RNA (517 nucleotides) under uncultured bacterium. Its description in RNAcentral is "bacterial SSU rRNA". It matches the Rfam family "Bacterial small subunit ribosomal RNA", at positions 31 to 552 of the family's 1533-position model. The record is from RNAcentral.
AAAAGCCGGGGGGCCUUAUGCAUGCAGUCGAACGAUUUCGAUUUAUCGGAAUAGUGGCGAAUGGGUGAGUAACACGUAAGUGACCUGCCCUCAAGUAGGGAAUAACUUUGAGAAAUCGGAGCUAAUACUUUAUGUGCUGGUGAGGAUAAUGCUUCAUCAGUAAAGCCUUCGGGUGCUUGGGGAGGGGCUUGUGUCCGAUUAGCUAGUUGGUGGGGUAAUGGCUUACCAAGGCGAUGAUCGGUAGCUGGUUUGAGAGGAUGAUCAGCCACACUGGGACUGAGACACGGCCCAGACUCCUACGGGAGGCAGCAGCAAGGAAUAUUGCGCAAUGGGCGAAAGCCUGACGCAGCGACACCGCGUGGGGGAUGAAGGCUUUCGGGUCGUAAAGCUCUGUCAAGUGGGAAAAAAGUCUGAUGAUUAAUAGUUGUCAGAUCUGAUGGUACCACUGGAGGAAGCACCGGCUAACUCCGUGCCAGCAGCCGCGGUAAUACGGAGGGUGCAAGCGUUGUUCGGAAUU